This 605-nucleotide long non-coding RNA is filed under the name Volvox carteri. RNAcentral's name for it is "long non-coding RNA (VCAR_LNC000287)". Lineage: Eukaryota; Viridiplantae; Chlorophyta; Chlorophyceae; Chlamydomonadales; Volvocaceae. The record is from RNAcentral.
UGUUCACCCUGCCCCCUUCAAGCAGCCCGCCUCUCUUUGAACCCUGAGACCCCAGGCCUGAGCAGCCCUAUCGUAUACCACCCCCAUAGUGUUGUUGGCUGACGGAUUGCUCUGGGAUGCUCAGAAAUUGCCACUCGUAUGUUACAUGGGGUAAGGGCCCGGGGAGCCCUGAAACACUGAAUAAUUAUCGUCUCCCUGUCCGUUGCGGAGCAGUGACAUGUCUGCAUGCCUACUCCACAUACCCGUCCGGCAUGUCUGCAUGCCUCACGGACAAGUCUAUGCUGACUGUGCAUUAAUCCAGUAAUCGUCCAAACAAUAUGAAUUCAAAAUAAAAAAUUAAAAAGGAAUAAAAAGGCGAGAGGGCUAAAGUAUCUAAAAAUGGCACCGCACAACGAUAACUGCAACGACGUGGCUCUGUUCAACUUCAACCACGUUUACGGACAUUGUGGCAUCAAUUAUCAAAAACCCUUCUUCUGAGCAGAAACACAGUCAAUCUCUAUGACUUCGGCAGCCCCCAGGUCGGGGCCAGUGGUUGUUGACAUUUGACUUAAUCUAAUAACUCCAUAGUGUAAAACGCAGUCUUUAAAUGGCAAACGCAUGCCUGG